CUUGACCUCAAAUCAGGUAGGACUACCCGCUGAACUUAAGCAUAUCAAUAAGCGGAGGAAAAGAAACUAACAAGGAUUCCCCUAGUAACUGCGAGUGAAGCGGNNNAGCUCAAAUUUAAAAUCUGGCAGUCUUUGGCUGUCCGAGUGU
Molecule: ribosomal RNA, 148 nt
Filed under: Bolbitius sp. LE 303466
Lineage: Eukaryota; Fungi; Basidiomycota; Agaricomycetes; Agaricales; Bolbitiaceae
Description: partial 28S ribosomal RNA
Rfam family: Eukaryotic large subunit ribosomal RNA
Source: RNAcentral